Molecule: ribosomal RNA, 649 nt
Filed under: uncultured bacterium
Lineage: Bacteria
Description: bacterial SSU rRNA
Rfam family: Bacterial small subunit ribosomal RNA
Source: RNAcentral
GGAAUAACGGCUGGAAACGGUCGCUAAUACCGCAUAACAUACUGGAGGGACAUCCUUUGGUAUCAAAGAUUAUAUCGCUCGGAGAUGGGCUCGCGUCCGAUUAGGUAGUUGGUGAGGUAACGGCUCACCAAGCCGACGAUCGGUAGCCGGACUGAGAGGUCGAACGGCCACAUUGGGACUGAGACACGGCCCAGACUCCUACGGGAGGCAGCAGUGGGGGGUAUUGCACAAUGGGGGAAACCCUGAUGCAGCGACGCCGCGUGUGGGAAGACGGUCCUCUGGAUUGUAAACCACUGUCCCCAGGGACGAAGAUGACGGUACCUGGGGAGGAAGCUCCGGCUAACUACGUGCCAGCAGCCGCGGUAAUACGUAGGGAGCGAGCGUUGACCGGAAUUACUGGGUGUAAAGGGAGCGUAGGCGGGACUGCAAGUUGGGUGUCAAAUCUACCGGCUCAACCGGUAGCCGCACUCAAAACUGCAGUUCUUGAGUGAAGUAGAGGCAGGCGGAAUUCCUAGUGUAGCGGUGAAAUGCGUAGAUAUUAGGAGGAACACCAGUGGCGAAGGCGGCCUGCUGGGCUUUUACUGACGCUGAGGCUCGAAAGUGUGGGGAGCAAACAGGAUUAGAUACCCUGGUAGUCCACACCGUAAAC